RNAcentral lists this ribosomal RNA (1480 nucleotides) under metagenome. RNAcentral describes it as "bacterial LSU rRNA". It matches the Rfam family "Bacterial large subunit ribosomal RNA", at positions 1452 to 2925 of the family's 2925-position model. The record is from RNAcentral.
CAAUGCAUGUGGGGACGGAGAAGGUUAGGUCAGCCGGGUGUUGGAUGUCCCGGUUCAAGCGUGUAGGUUGGUUCUUUAGGCAAAUCCGGAGAGCUAAGACUGAGACGUGAUAACGAGCGUACUUGUACGUGAAGUGAUUGAUACCAUGCUUCCAAGAAAAGCCACUAAGCUUCAGUUGUAUAGAGACCGUACCGCAAACCGACACAGGUGGGCAGGAUGAGAAUUCUAAGGCGCUUGAGAGAACCCGGGAGAAGGAACUCGGCAAAUUAGCACCGUAACUUCGGGAGAAGGUGCGCCCCGGUAGUGUGUAGAGAUUUACUCUCGAAGCAUGAUGGGGUUGCAAAAAAGGUGGCUGCGACUGUUUAAUAAAAACACAGCACUCUGCAAACACGAAAGUGGACGUAUAGGGUGUGACGCCUGCCCGGUGCUGGAAGAUUAAAUGAUGGGGUGCAAGCUCUUGAUUGAAGUCCCAGUAAACGGCGGCCGUAACGAUAACGGUCCUAAGGUAGCGAAAUUCCUUGUCGGGUAAGUUCCGACCCGCACGAAUGGCGUAACGAUGGCCACACUGUCUCCUCUCGGGACUCAGCGAAGUUGAAAUGUUUGUGAAGAUGCAAUCUCCCCGCGGCUAGACGGAAAGACCCCAUGAACCUUUACUGCAGCUUUACAUUGGACUUUGACAAGAUUUGUGUAGGAUAGGUGGGAGACUAUGAAGCGGUGUCGCUAGAUAUCGUGGAGUCAUCCUUGAAAUACCACCCUGAUGUUGUUGAGGUUCUAACCUAGGUCCGUAAUCCGGACUGGGGACCGUGUAUGGUAGGCAGUUUGACUGGGGCGGUCUCCUCCCAAAGAGUAACGGAGGAGUGCGAAGGUAACCUAGGUACGGUCGGAAAUCGUACUGAUAGUGCAAUGGCAAAAGGUUGCUUGACUGCGAGACGGACAGGUCGAGCAGGUGCGAAAGCAGGUCAUAGUGAUCCGGUGGUUCUGUAUGGAAGGGCCAUCGCUCAACGGAUAAAAGGUACUCUGGGGAUAACAGGCUGAUUCCUCCCAAGAGUUCAUAUCGACGGGGGAGUUUGGCACCUCGAUGUCGGCUCAUCACAUCCUGGGGCUGUAGCCGGUCCCAAGGGUAUGGCUGUUCGCCAUUUAAAGUGGUACGUGAGCUGGGUUUAAAACGUCGUGAGACAGUUUGGUCCCUAUCUGCCGUGGGCGCUGCAAGUUUGAGGGGACCUGCUCCUAGUACGAGAGGACCGGAGUGGACGCACCUCUGGUGGACCAGUUAUCAUGCCAAUGGUAUAGCUGGGUAGCUAAGUGCGGAAGAGAUAAACGCUGAAAGCAUCUAAGCGUGAAACUCGCCUCGAGAUGAGACUUGCCUCUGGCUUUAAGCCAGCUAAAGAGUCGUUCAAGACCAGGACGUUGAUAGGUCAGGUGUGGAAGUGCAGUAAUGCAUUAAGCUAACUGAUACUAAUUGCUCGUGAGGCUUGAUCCG